UUUAAGGCUGAGACACGACGUCGAGCCACUACGGUGGUGAAGUCAUUGAUGCCAUGCUUCCAGGAAAAGCCUCUAAGCUUCAGAUUGUAAGGAAUCGUACCCCAAACCGACACAGGUGGUCGGGUAGAGAAUACCAAGGCGCUUGAGAGAACUCGGGUGAAGGAACUAGGCAAAAUGGUACCGUAACUUCGGGAGAAGGUACGCUCU
Molecule: ribosomal RNA, 207 nt
Filed under: Vibrio parahaemolyticus
Lineage: Bacteria; Pseudomonadati; Pseudomonadota; Gammaproteobacteria; Vibrionales; Vibrionaceae
Description: partial 23S ribosomal RNA
Rfam family: Bacterial large subunit ribosomal RNA
Source: RNAcentral